RNAcentral lists this non-coding RNA (23 nucleotides) under Columba livia (rock pigeon). Lineage: Eukaryota; Metazoa; Chordata; Aves; Columbiformes; Columbidae. The record is from RNAcentral. RNAcentral also lists the same sequence under 1 other name.
UACCCUGUAGACUCGAAUUUGUG